This 1015-nucleotide ribosomal RNA is filed under the name Brevibacterium sp. HMSC08F02. Its description in RNAcentral is "bacterial LSU rRNA". It matches the Rfam family "Bacterial large subunit ribosomal RNA", at positions 1897 to 2925 of the family's 2925-position model. The record is from RNAcentral. Lineage: Bacteria; Bacillati; Actinomycetota; Actinomycetes; Micrococcales; Brevibacteriaceae.
GUUCGAAGCGGAGAAUUUAAGCCCCAGUAAACGGCGGUGGUAACUAUAACCAUCCUAAGGUAGCGAAAUUCCUUGUCGGGUAAGUUCCGACCUGCACGAAUGGCGUAACGACUUCUCUGCUGUCUCAACCGCGAACUCGGCGAAAUUGCAUUACGAGUAAAGAUGCUCGUUACGCGCAGCAGGACGGAAAGACCCCGAGACCUUCACUAUAGUUUGGUAUUGGUGUUCGGUGUGGCUUGUGUAGGAUAGGUGGGAGACGUAGAAGCGUGCACGCCAGUGUGUGUGGAGUCAUUGGUGAAAUACCACUCUGGCCAUAGUGGAUUCCUGAACUUCGGACCCUGAUCGGGUCCAGGGACAGUGCCUGAUGGGUAGUUUAACUGGGGCGGUUGCCUCCCAAAGAGUAACGGAGGCGCCCAAAGGUUCCCUCAGCCUGGUUGGCAAUCAGGUGGUGAGUGUAAGUGCACAAGGGAGCUUGACUGUGAGACGGACGUGUCGAGCAGGAGCGAAAGCUGGGACUAGUGACCCGGCCAUGGCUUGUGGAAGCGUGGUCGCUCAACGGAUAAAAGGUACCUCGGGGAUAACAGGCUGAUCUUGCCCAAGAGUCCAUAUCGACGGCAUGGUUUGGCACCUCGAUGUCGGCUCGUCGCAUCCUGGGGCUGGAGUCGGUCCCAAGGGUUGGGCUGUUCGCCCAUUAAAGCGGUACGCGAGCUGGGUUUAGAACGUCGUGAGACAGUUCGGUCCCUAUCCGCUGCGUGCGUAGGAAAUCUGAGAAGGGCUGUCCUUAGUACGAGAGGACCGGGACGGACGAACCUCUGGUGUGCCAGUUGUACCGCCAGGUGCAUGGCUGGUUGGCUACGUUCGGGAAGGAUAACCGCUGAAAGCAUCUAAGCGGGAAGCCUGCUUCAAGAUGAGAUUUCCCCUGAGGUGUCCAGUAGACGACUGGGUUGAUAGGCCAGAUGUGGAAGCACAGCAAUGUGCGCAGCUGACUGGUACUAAUACACCAAUCACUCACCCA